UUUAUUGAGAGUUUGAUCCUGGCUCAGGACGAACGCUGGCGGCGUGCCUAACACAUGCAAGUCGAGCGAUGAAGUUCCUUCGGGAACG
RNAcentral lists this ribosomal RNA (88 nucleotides) under Clostridium sp. RNAcentral describes it as "partial 16S ribosomal RNA". It matches the Rfam family "Bacterial small subunit ribosomal RNA", at positions 1 to 88 of the family's 1533-position model. The record is from RNAcentral. Lineage: Bacteria; Bacillati; Bacillota; Clostridia; Eubacteriales; Clostridiaceae.